RNAcentral lists this ribosomal RNA (253 nucleotides) under uncultured bacterium. Its description in RNAcentral is "partial 16S ribosomal RNA". It matches the Rfam family "Bacterial small subunit ribosomal RNA", at positions 524 to 776 of the family's 1533-position model. The record is from RNAcentral.
UACGGAGGGUGCAAGCGUUGUCCGGAAUCACUGGGCGUAAAGGGCGCGUAGGCGGCUCAUGAAGGCUGUGGUGAGAGUCCGGGGCUCAACCUCGGAUCGGCCGUGGCGACUCGUGGGCUGGAGCACUGUAGAGGCGGGUGGAAUUCCGGGUGUAGCGGUGGAAUGCGUAGAGAUCGGAAGGAACACCAGUGGCGAAAGCGGCUUCCUGGUCCAGCACCGACGUUCAGGCACGAAAGCGUGGGGAGCAAACAGG